ACAGAUGGCCUCAUAGAUAAUGAUGAUGGAAGAGAGAAAAUUGAAUGUCUCUCACAAGGUGGCCAUGGCAACCGAGAGCAGAAUAAUAUCAAUAAUAAGCUCACUGCAUAAUAAGGUUGUCAGUCCUACAAAUCAAAGUCUCCUGCUAAAUCAGGUACACCACCCCAGCUAGUUACCAGGUAAAUAAAAUAAAUGUGUUUGUGUGUGUAUCCACAUGCACACACACAUGUACAUAUGUGUGCAUGCGUGAUUUUCCAGGGACAUUGAAGGCAACUAGAAUUCCAAGCUGCUCAGUGGAACCGUGUGCGUGUGCGUGUGUGUGCCAGCAUGGGGGGUGCUGGCUAAUGAAAUUACAGUGUGGAUUUGUUCUUUCUCUUUCAUUGUCUUGCCUGCAGUCGGCUUGUUUUCGGGAGGGUCCCUCUAUCUAACGAGCCACCUUGCAAUCUGGAUCUGGGUGUGUAGGAGCCCUUUCUCUCGGCACCCGCUUGCCCUCUCUCUGCCUCUCUGCCGAGGGGAGCUGCAGCCAGGCAAUAGCAGAGUGCCUGGGGCGGCCACCUUGGCUCCCAGGGGGACAUCCUGCAAAAUGAAUCAGCAGCCGUCCUGAGCAGGCUGAUUACAAUGAAAAUGGCAAGGCCCGUGUCUGGGCGGAACUGGAGCUCAGCUUUGCUGCCUGUCUGGCAAGCAUGCUCAAUAUAGCUCUUGCUAAUAAUGGCUUGCUGCCUUUUGUUUUUUAAAAAGAUUGCCUGCCUGACAACAAUGUUAUUUUAAAGCUGGACUGACUUCAUCUUUCUUCUGGGGAAAGCCUGAAGAUGGAGGGCAAGCUACCUGAAUGUCCAAGACAAUAGUGGACACUCCGAGGCGAUCGCCUAGGCAGCUGACCUCAAGAGGACUCCCAGGAUGACUCUGCAGCACAUGGGUGCGCUGCUGAGGACGGCCCAGGAGAAGCCUAUUUCUGUGGUGAGCACUCCGGGCAACUCUUCCUGCAUCCCAGAUAUUAUGCAAUGCAGACAAUCAGAAUAGGAAAACGAGAGCUCCUAUCUGAUGCAAUAAUCUUGAAAAUUUGUUAAAAAUAAGCCAUCAGUUCUUUUUUACAAAAAUCUCAUCCAUUCCAUUAAGAUUACCUUCAAAUAAGCCACAUGUUUCCAAUUUCUGACAGAUUUCUCAGAUUUCUUUCAAAGCAUUCUGGAAAUCAGACCACUAUCACCUCUCAUAAAAAAUUCACUUAAAAAUUAAAACCCAGACUUUUUCUGAACUCAUUAUACUUUCCUUUCCUUAUAUAUUUUACUGUGUUAUAAAUAAACUUUAAAUUUUGCUGCCUGGAUUCUCGAUUUUUGGUUACAGGGGCGUAAUUUCCACGUACAGCUCUCUCUGUAGACACUUAUUUUUGUCCUGGUAAUUCCUGUUUCUGAGCUGUGAUUUUUUGCUCCUGCACUCUGGCCUGUUGCUGCAGUGCGAGCCAGAAAUCAACAGAGCUGCCCUGAUGGAGACUCCACUCAGCACGAGGCAGAGCAGCUGCAGCCCCCCCCCCCCCCGCUCACACACACACACACGCACACACACACACACACACACGAAUGACGUCUGUGCAGCCUCUUCAGCUGAUUGGGCGUCACAUCGGAUGUUCUGUGAAGCAAAGAAUAGGAGUCACUUACAGUCCGUGGAGAAGCAGCAAGCGUCCGAAUUCUCCUGGGUCUGAGACGCGGAGCUGAGUCUGCCAGCCACCGGCCACAGUGGUGAGGACGGCUCCUCGGGCCCUGUGGCCACCGUGGAGCAAAAUUCAACCGCAAAUGAUGACAGAACGGAAAAAGUGGCAGAGUAGGGAAGGCUUCCCAUUUUACAAAGGACAAAGGAUUCCUCUAAAAAAUGUGAGCACAACCAAAUUUCCAUGAAGGCUUGAGCAUUUAGGUCAUACAGGCAGCUUUGGAGCACGAUUUGAGAGUUUAAAUAUACAUUAUUGUUUUAAAAUACUCCCAAAUCCAUGUUCAGAGAGAAAGCACACAUGGAAAGAAUAUCCCCUCCACACACAGAAUCAUCCCAUGAGUUGAUCUCAGCUGGCUUAGCCUUGAUUUCAGAUGUCAUAGUUAAAAUUUACCACCAAAUGUCUUAUCACAUAUUAACAAAGAAAUAAACCUCUAAAUAAUAUCAAGCCAUAAUAUUGUGAAGCACAGCUUUAGGUAAGCAAGAUGUUUCUGACACAUAGGUGUGUGCCUAUGGAAAUGCAAUGUGUAUUAGGUACCAGGCACUGCAGAGUAGCUUGCUUGGGUGGAUAUGCGCGCGCACACACACACACACACACACACACAUAGUGCUGUUGCAACAGCUUUGGCACUGAAGCUGCAGGUGUGUCCCAGAGAAGCGGCAGGCCACUGCGUUGGUAAGCACAGCAUCUCACGUUUUAGCCUUAAGCCAAGGGAUCCCUGGACUCGGCAGCAGAGAGAACGCCUCUCCCUGCAGCACACUGUCACUGCAUUCCCUUCAGCCGCAUCUUCCUGACAGCAACCGUCCCGUCUCAUUCUGCUCCCGCGAAGCAUUCGCAUUCCCUGUACCCAGCCCUGCACAGCACUUAGCGAUGGAGACGCCAGCCCUCAAACCGCUUCAGAGUAGGGGGAAAUGAAUGAAUCAUGAAGCCACAGGGCAGGCAGAGCAGUAUACAGAGCCUGUAUUUUGCAGUUACAUUGUAGCACACUUGAUACUUAAUGAUUCCUUAAAACAGGAAAUCAAAUACUCUGUAGAAAGGAACUAGCAAACCCUUCAGGAUGUACAAGGACUGCUAGAAUAUUCAAAAGACCAUUUAGAUUUAAAAAAAAAUCUCCCUAUUGUUUGCAAUUAAAUCGUACACUGAAAUGUUCUGCCUGGGAAGAUCUCAUGUAAAUUAUUGCCCAUGUGCCUUGUGCUGCCCUUAGACACACCUCCACAGGUAGAGCCUCUCUGUCCUGAGGAAUUCAUAGCUUCUCUCUUCUAACGCUAUUUAGUUAUUUCUUUCUAAGAGAAAAUAAACUGCAUUGUGCAGCCCCUUCAAAUGAGUAUGUUCUCCAACCUAAUCAAAGAACAUAAACCCCAGAUACUUUUACAUCUUGAAUUAUACAACAGAUUCUGCCCUAGGCCGUGCGUUCUGGUGGCUCCAAAUCACAAUCUGCUCAUCGCCCAUGGCAUAGGAAGGGCUGGCUCUUCUGCUGUGGGUUCUCUGCAUGUCUGAGUGGGCUCUGGCCUCGAUGUGAUGUGUGUGGACAGGGGCUUCUUCACUGCUUCACAUGCCAAGUUUCACACCAAGGACACCAAGGCGAGGAGACAGGAGCUGAAGCUCCAUGUAAAAUGCAACAAUGACUUGUUCUAGGAAGCUCAUAAUGUAUCUGUUCUACAUUUCUUCAAAACUGUUUCUGCAUCAAUAAUGGAAGGCCAUGAUUUCUGAAAGGAAUCUUAAACUCACUCAGGACAGUAGCAAAUAGUGUAGACUCUCUGCAGUUGGGUGGAAAAUGGUUAAAAUCUGGAAUCUAGACAUUAUUAUGUUGGAGUGUACCCUAUGUAAACUCAUGUACUAAUCUAUCCCCCUACACUCCAUGGUUACCAUAAAAACUUUCAAUGUUAGACAUAUGUGAAGAAGGGAUAGUUUAGAUAGAUAGAUAGAUAGAUAGAUAGAUAGAUAUAGUAUGUGUGUGUGUCUGCUUGUGUGUGUGCGUGAAACACUUAAGGAUGGGAAACCCAUUUUCACUGCAGGGAACUACCCUCAACUCAUCAAAACAUCUGUAGGUGCUUCACAGCAAUUGGUUAAGAAAAGGGGUAGGUGACUAACUUGCAAAACGAGUAGAUUAAUGAGUGAGGAGGAAACUUGAGGGACACACCCCAAGGCAGAGUUGAUGUGUCAGACACAGAAAGACCUUGGCUGUGUGACCUCAGUGGCUGGCUGGGUCAGGAAGUGGAGAUCAAGACCCUCCCGGAGCACACGCAUUGCUUCUGGGUCUGUUGGGGACAGACUCUUCCAUCUCAUGUUAACCAAUAUUGGGGGAUCCAGAGCAGGGGAGGAUUAAGCAACACGUUCAGAUACCCUCACUUAGUUUUAUAGAACUGGUCAAGUUUUGGCAAAAUACAUAGAUAUAAAUUACUCUGAAUACAAUUCUGAGAUCUAAGUUAGCAUAGAGAAUUUAAGGUGUAAGCGAUUAUAAAUGGCAAACAAAAGUACUACAGAAGUGUUUUCACACUCUAAGGUCUAUAAUUUUAAGAACAUUGCCAAAAUUUAAUAAAAAUACGUACUUUCCAA
Oryctolagus cuniculus (rabbit) is the source of this 4255-nucleotide non-coding RNA. Lineage: Eukaryota; Metazoa; Chordata; Mammalia; Lagomorpha; Leporidae. The record is from RefSeq and is a predicted model, not a curated record.